CAGACCUUCAGUGCCAGACCUCUGACCCGUUAACCUCCAUCCCGACAGCCAGCGCCUUCUCCGGCUCCCAUUGCGGUAUCGCUUCUCGGCUUUUUGGACAAGAACAAGUGGACACCGGGGACUACAAGUUUAAAUGGAUUUUUGACCUUCGGAAAUGGAAGCGAGGCUUGCUCCGUCCACUCCGUUCAUCGACUCGGGCGCUUUCCGGGCACAAAUAAGUUUGCGGAGGUGAUACCAGGACGAAUUAAACAGCCUCGACACAGCUGAAGGCGCAAGAAAAUCGUACGAGACAGUUUGGGAUGUUAAAAACACCUGAAAACUUUUUUUUCCACUACCCUUCAUACUACAGCGGUCGAAAAACCACAGCAACGUCGACACGCCUGGAAGCAUAGCUGUAUUUGUUUAAGACAACGGGUAAAGUAUUUUCUUGAUUACCUAAAUGACUUGCAGUAAGAACAUAUUUUAAUUUAUAAUGAUAACUCUGUCAUCAUUUAUUCAUCCUCGUGUUGUUUUCAACCUGUAUGCAUUCGUAUUUUGGAGGUGACACGAUGACGACUUAAACAUCAUCGACACAGCUGAAAAAGCGAACGAGACAGAUUGGGAUGUUCAAAACACCUGAAAACUUUUUUUUCACUGUACUACAGCUGUCGAAGAACCACAGCAACGUCGGCAGAUCUGGAAGCAUAGCUGUAUUUGUUUAACUCACAACGACAACGGGUAAGUCAUUGAGCCCUUGUGUUUUUAUUUAUCCACGUUCUAAAAUUGCUAUGCUUUCGUUGUUUCUCGAUUGCUCUGUACAUUUCUUUGUUUCUAUUCCACGUAAAGUUACUUUGUAAUAACGAAACGAUAUAUUGAAAUGCGCUAUUUAAAUCCAUUUGAUUUAAAUUGUUUCACGUUUUUCUCUCUGCACGGUUUAACCGGGCUGGAAACGGAAAAUGGGUAGAUCUCGAAGAAUAUUUGGUUUCAGACCUGGCUUCGUGCGCCUUUCCACCUGGUCACACACAGUAAUGAAAUGGUAGUCGGACGGCCUUCGGGGGCGCCGUCGAUGUGAUCGGUCACAGGAAGAUGCGGCCGUCUGGCCUCAAAGGCUGUUGCUCAUACUUACCUGGCAGGGGAGAUACCAUGAUCAUGAAGGUGGUUCACCCAGGGCGAGGCUCAGCCAUUGCACUCCGGUUGUGCUGACCCUUUGCGAAUUCCCCAAAUGUGGGAAUCUCGACUGCAAAAUUUCUGAUAGUGGGGGACUGCGUUCGCGCUCUCCCCUGGC
This is a non-coding RNA of Misgurnus anguillicaudatus (oriental weatherfish), 1264 nucleotides long. The record is from RefSeq and is a predicted model, not a curated record. Lineage: Eukaryota; Metazoa; Chordata; Actinopteri; Cypriniformes; Cobitidae.